Molecule: ribosomal RNA, 500 nt
Filed under: uncultured bacterium
Lineage: Bacteria
Description: partial 16S ribosomal RNA
Rfam family: Bacterial small subunit ribosomal RNA
Source: RNAcentral
AUUGAACGCUGGCGGCAUGCCUCACACAUGCAAGUCGAACGGCAGCACGGGAGCAAUCCUGGUGGCGAGUGGCGAACGGGUGAGUAAAGUAUCGGAACGUGCCCAGUCGUGGGGGAUAACGUAGCGAAAGUUACGCUAAUACCGCAUACGAUCUAUGGAUGAAAGCGGGGGAUCGCAAGACCUCGCGCGAUUGGAGCGGCCGAUAUCAGAUUAGGUAGUUGGGGGGGUAAAGGCUCACCAAGCCGACGAUCUGUAGCUGGUCUGAGAGGACGACCAGCCAAACUGGGACUGAGACACGGCCCAGACUCCUACGGGAGGCAGCAGUGGGGAAUUUUGGACAAUGGGCGAAAGCCUGAUCCAGCCAUGCCGCGUGCAGGAUGAAGGCCUUCGGGUUGUAAACUGCUUUUGUACGGAACGAAAAGGUUUGGCCUAAUAAGCUGAGCUCAUGACGGUACCGUAAGAAUAAGCACCGGCUAACUACGUGCCAGCAGCCGCCGUAA